GACGAACGCUGGCGGCGUGCCUAAUACAUGCAAGUAGAACGCUGAAGGAGGAGCUUGCUUCUCUGGAUGAGUUGCGAACGGGUGAGUAACGCGUAGGUAACCUGCCUGGUAGCGGGGGAUAACUAUUGGAAACGAUAGCUAAUACCGCAUAAUAGUAGAUGUUGCAUGACAUUUGCUUAAAAGGUGCAAUUGCAUCACUACCAGAUGGACCUGCGUUGUAUUAGCUAGUUGGUGAGGUAACGGCUCACCAAGGCGACGAUACAUAGCCGACCUGAGAGGGGGAUCGGCCACACUGGGACUGAGACACGGCCCAGACUCCUACGGGAGGCAGCAGUAGGGAAUCUUCGGCAAUGGACGGAAGUCUGACCGAGCAACGCCGCGGGAGUGAAGAAGGGUUUCGGAUCGUAAAGCUCUGUUGUAAGAGAAGAACGAGUGUGAGAGUGGAAAGUUCACACUGUGACGGUAGCUUACCAGAAAGGGACGGCUAACUACGUG
RNAcentral lists this ribosomal RNA (495 nucleotides) under uncultured bacterium. RNAcentral's name for it is "partial 16S ribosomal RNA". It matches the Rfam family "Bacterial small subunit ribosomal RNA", at positions 28 to 507 of the family's 1533-position model. The record is from RNAcentral.